This 420-nucleotide ribosomal RNA is filed under the name Fusobacteriota bacterium. RNAcentral's name for it is "Fusobacteria bacterium partial 16S ribosomal RNA". It matches the Rfam family "Bacterial small subunit ribosomal RNA", at positions 355 to 776 of the family's 1533-position model. Lineage: Bacteria; Fusobacteriati; Fusobacteriota. The record is from RNAcentral.
UGGGGGAUAUUGCACAAUGGGCGAAAGCCUGAUGCAGCGACGCCGCGUGGGGGAUGAAGGCCUUCGGGUUGUAAACUUCUUUUGCUCUGAACAAGGCAUGCCGUUGGGGUGUGUUGAGUGUAGGGGUUGAUUAGCGCCGGCUAACUACGUGCCAGCAGCCGCGGUAAUACGUAGGGCGCGAGCGUUGUCCGGAAUUAUUGGGCGUAAAGGGCUUGUAGGUGGCUGGUUGCGUCUGUCGUGAAAGCUCAUGGCUUAACUGUGGGUUUGCGGUGGGUACGGGCUGGCUUGAGUGCAGUAGGGGAGGCUGGAAUUCCUGGUGUAGCGGUGGAAUGCGCAGAUAUCAGGAGGAAUACCGGUGGCGAAGGCGGGUCUCUGGGCUGUUACUGCCGCUGAGGAGCGAAAGCGUGGGGAGCUAACAGG